RNAcentral lists this ribosomal RNA (301 nucleotides) under uncultured bacterium. RNAcentral's name for it is "partial 16S ribosomal RNA". It matches the Rfam family "Bacterial small subunit ribosomal RNA", at positions 509 to 807 of the family's 1533-position model. The record is from RNAcentral.
CAGCAGCCACGGGAAUACGAAGGGUGCAAGCGUUACUCGGAAUUACUGGGCGUAAAGCGUGCGUAGGUGGUGGUUUAAGUCCGUUGUGAAAGCCCUGGGCUCAACCUGGGAAUUGCAGUGGAUACUGGGUCACUAGAGUGUGGUAGAGGAUAGUGGAAUUUCCGGUGUAGCAGUGAAAUGCGUAGAGAUCGGAAGGAACAUCUGUGGCGAAGGCGACUAUCUGGGCCAACACUGACACUGAGGCACGAAAGCGUGGGGAGCAAACAGGAUUAGAUACCCGCGUAGUCCCUGUCUCUUAUAC